RNAcentral lists this long non-coding RNA (6063 nucleotides) under Capsicum annuum. Its description in RNAcentral is "long non-coding RNA (CANN_LNC004010)". The record is from RNAcentral. Lineage: Eukaryota; Viridiplantae; Streptophyta; Magnoliopsida; Solanales; Solanaceae.
GUCUAGUGAAUGAGCCAGCACUACUAACUCAAGGUACUUCUUCGGGCCAGCUCGACUAAUUGAGUAAAUCUGUCUAUCUAAACUUGAUCAGAUGACAAGAAAUCACUCAGCGUUUUUAGCCAUUCCUAGAAUUUGAACCUGAAAACUCAUGAUUUUCCCGCGGUUGAGUGCUUAAUUUCCUUAACCUUACCUAAUAGUGUCACAUAUAGCAACCAUGCACAAAAAAAGUUUGCUUUGUUCUUUUUUGUACUCCUACUAAAGAUUAUAUAAAGAGGUCUUUUUCAAAAAACACAAGUUUUUGGAAUUACUAGUAUGAGUCAACGCUCUAAUUUGCUUCAAUAUUUUAGUACACUGUGCUGUUGGUUAUCAACUACCACUAAUACAUAAUAUAAUGAUUUUGUCAUAUGAACAGGAGAACCAACGAUGGAUCGGUAUCCAAAUGUUCAGCAACAACCGCUGAUACGAACCUAUCAGCGAAACACAAUUUUGACAGAUGCAUCUGAUGAACAAUUAGCUGAAUACAAUGACUGGAUUGUUAAUCCCAACUAUAUUUGCACUCUUGCUGAUAACAACACUGGUGGUUACUUUUCAGACGGAUCUUCUAAUAGACAAUUAUUGCGCUAAAUUUGCAUUGUCAGCAUAUAAAAUUAACUGAAUUCUUCUAAGAAGAUGAAGACACUGAAGGAAUGAAAUUUAUGCAUCAGGUGUACAUAGUGUGCAGGAACAAAUAUUUUGCCCAAAUAAGGGGCUGAAAAUUGUUGUAGAAAUUGCGCCACCCCUUUGUAAAAGAUGUGUGGACUGGCUAUAGUAUGUAGAGGUAUAUGUCUCAAGUUUUUUUUUUCUUUUUAAGAUUCAAACUUGAAUUAUCUAUUGUAGAGAGGUACUGUUCAUGUUAAUUGAAUGAAACAAAUUAAUGCAAAUGUUUACUUUGAUUAUGCAUCAAGCUAUGACUUAGUUUCUUUUACACCCUCUUCUUGUUGCUAAGGGAAUUCAUAGUCGCUGUCUUUUGAAUGCACAGGGUAAAUUCUGCUUUAUUGUACUUUAUGACUUGCAUUAUUGACAAUAAUUUUGUUAAGUCUUCAUUUUAUCCCAUGAAAAGUGGAUUCCAAAUUUGUGAUUGUGAUUUAAAAAGAAAUUUCAUACAUUAUUUUUCUGGUGAAUAAAUAAAGUAGCUGAACAAGAGAAAUAGUUAAGUAACAAUUUUGAUCGUACAAUUAAUGUCAAUGGUAGUGUGAUGAGGGUUGUUGGAUCGAAAAAUUGCCACUAACUAUAUAAUAUUUAUAAUUUUGUCUACUGAUAUCUUUAAAAAAAAUAAAAAUAAAUCAAGCUAAGCAUGGUGUUUCUUGUAUGUAUUGCACAUAUUUAAUUACUACUACAAAUUAAAUAAGUACAAUAAUUUUUUUGUCCCGAUUUAGAUAUUUUUGAUUUUGGAGGAAUUAUUACUUGAGAAGUUGGAGAGUUCUUUUUGUAUAUUGGUGAGUAAAGUUAAUAGAAUUCUUUAAAGAAAGAAAUAUUUCUUUGAUUGGAAAUUGCUGAAAUUAAAGCAACAUUUCUUUGAUUGGAAAUUGCUGAAAUUAAAGCAACAUCCUUAGAUAUACAUAAACUUUCGUUUAAUAUAUAUUCCUACUAGAUAGUGGUAACUACUCUCUUACCGUUUCAUAUUAGUACCUUUUUUGUAUGAAACUUCUAAUUUAUGAAAUAUAAUUUUUAUAUCUUAUUCCACUUCUUUAAUAUAUUUAUUUAAAUUUAGACAAUUAUUAUUGUACAACAUGUGAAUUUCUCUAAGAAAAAACUCACCAACCAUGAUAUAUAGAGAACACUCACUGAAGAUAUACAAUUUUAUGAACGAUUUAGUGAACGAUUCAUGUAUAUUUGACGACGUAACAUUCGUAUUCGAUAAUAUUUUAAUAGUGAUAUAAUCAUUACUCAAUAAUGUAGUUAUAAUGAUUAGUAACAUAUAUAUUUUGUUUGAUGAUUUAAACUCUUUUAACCAAGAAAAAAGAUUUAUUUUAGCGCACAAACUUAAUAGUCAUUCAUGAAUAUAUAUAUAUUGCAACUGUAUUGAUAAACGUUGAUAAACGUCUCCCAGUCAUUAAUUAUGAAAUUGCAUCAUUAUAUAUAAUGUUAUCAAAAGUGUGGGGGGAGGGGGGGAAAAUAAUUUUGCAUAAAAUUUGCUUUUAAAAUAAAAAUUAAUAGAUAUAUAAACAGUAAAUUCUAAUAUUAUAUUAACAAUAUAUAUAUAUUAAAAAUGAAUCAAAAAAUAUAUAUGUUAAUUUGAAUUUGAAUUAUUUUAGAAAUAAAAAUUAAUAAUACUAACAACUUUAAGGUUAUUUCAGAUAUUUUGACCAAAAAAAUGCUUAACAACACUUGUUUACCAAACACAUCAAUAAUUUUUUUUUUUUUAGUUUCAGCACUUUUAUCCAAACACAUAACUGUUUAAUUUUAUUUUUAUAAUAAAUUUCAACACAUUUUAAAAGUCAUUUUCUUUCUACUUAUCCAAACGGGCUCAAAGUGGUUACAUCAGUCUGCCUUACAUCACUCGGGAGUCGAGAAUAUUUAAGCCUCUCUUGCCGCGCUAUUUCUUUCUUCAUUCCUCGAAACUUCAUUAAUUACCAAAUGUAAACCUUAAUAUACAUUUUAUAACCUAUGGUUUUAUUCUUUUAUUAUUAAACCAUCUUUUCCCAUUAAUUACAUACACUCAUUCCCUAUAUAUAGUUCCAUUCUUACCCAUUCCUCAUCAUCAUUUUCUUGUUUUGCACUGAAAAUUUCUUGAGCUUAUCACACUUCACUCCUCAAAAAUGGCAGCUAAACGAUUCUUUGAUGACUCCGACCCCGACCCGAACCAACGGAAUAACAAACGGAUAAAAUCUACCGCUACUAGACCUUCUUUCGCUUCGUAUGUCACUACUUUUUUAAAAUAUCACUUAAUUCAUGUCGAUAUAUAUAUAGCGUACCUAUUUAAAUUUCAAAAUUGUGUGACUUGUUGCUGUUUGUUUGUUUGUUAUUAUUUGCAGUGUCAUUAAAGAAGUGGUUAUGGUGAAUUUCCUAGACAAUGUCUCUUCCGCCUUGGAACCCAUGCUCCGUCGAGUGGUAUGACCUUUAAUAUUUGAAUAAAUUUUGCGUAUGAUCACUGAACCUUAUCGUUUUAUAUCAACAAUUAAUUUUGGUACGUGCAUUUAGCAGGUUAAUGAAGAGGUGGAAAAAGGACUGAGGCGUUAUUCAUGCCGUACAAUAAGUAGAUCUCCUUCACUGCGAAUCAAAGCAUUAGAGCCGUCAAUUCUCCGUCUCAUCUUCAACAAAAAUCUCCAUCUUACAAUCUUCACCGGCAGCAAAAUCACCGGCGUCGAUGGACGGAAUCUCCAAAUUCUACUGGUGGAUACAAGCGGCGAAGGCAUGGUUCCGACGACUUUACCGUAUCCUAUAAAAGUAGAAAUCGUCGUACUCGACGGAGAUUUCCCUUCUGAAACGAAUUGGUCACGUGAUGAAUUCGACAAAAAUAUCGUUAAGGAGAGAACUGGAAAGAGGCCAUUGCUUACCGGUGAACUCAAUUUCACGAUGCGUGACGGCGUCGCUACCGUUGGGGAAAUCGAAUUCACUGAUAAUUCGAGCUGGAUUAGGUGCCGGAAAUUCAGAAUUGGUGCAAAAGUGGUUCAAACUGGGAAUAAUCAAAAUACUGUUCGAAUUACAGAAGCCAUUACUCAAGCUUUUAUGGUUAAAGAUCACCGCGGAGAAUGUAAGCAAUCUCUUUUUAUUAUCACAUAAUUGAAAUUUCGAGAUUUAAACUUUGAAUAUGGACAUAAAAACUUUUUAAUUUUUUUUUUGUAUAAAUAAAAUACAUAUAUUUUAAAGGAAUUGACUGUUAAAACAGCGGAGAGAGUAAGCAAUUUCAAUUUUUUUCUCUUUUUGUAGUCAAAGCUAAUUUUUCUAACUUAACAAGCAUCCAUGACUCAUUAUUCUGAUUUCUAGCCUCAGAAUUUCUUAAAUUACAAAAGGACCUAAGUUAUAUAAUACUAGAUAGUUUUAGUUGUUUUUAAAAAAUAGAGGUACUGUAGUUUAUUCUGUCGUGACUUAUUAUGUGUUGUUUUAGUUGAUAAAGUCUUCGUACACUCCGUACCCUCAGAACGCCACCUAUUUGAAUACACUAGAUAGAAUCUUUUGAAAACAACCUCUUAUUAUGUGUUAUUUGAGUCCGAGAAUAGGAUAAAGUCUUUGUACACUCUAUACUCUCAAAACGCCGCUUGUGUGAAUACAGUGGGUAGAAUCUUUCCUAAACCUCUUAUUAUGUGUUAUUUGAGUCUGAGCAUAGAAUAAAGUCUCUGUACACUCUAUACUCUCAAAAAGCCACCUGUGUGAAUACACUGGGUAGAAUCUUUCAAAAACAACCUCUUAUUAUGUGUUAUUUGAGUCCGAGAAUAGGAUAAAGUCUUUGUACACUCAAUACUCUCAAAAUGCCACCCGUUUGAAUACACUGGAUAGAAUUUUUCGAAAACAAUCUCUUUUAUCUAACUAGACAAGAAUAAAGUCUACACACUUUAUACUCUUUAGACCCACCCAUGUGAAUAUGUUGAGUAUGUUACUGUUGUUAUAUUUUAUUUUGUUGUAGCGGGGUCGAGGAGUUCACUUAGUGGCUCUCAUCUGAUUGAGAUACAGUAUGUUAUAGCAUGUAAUUUGACUUAUUUUUUUAAGGUUACUGAUCUACUUUUAUAGAAGGCUACCUGUGGGAUUACGUUGAGUUUGGAAAUUAAUUAGUGUGUCUCAUGUUAACAUAUUGCAGUGUACAAGAAACAUUACCCACCAGCACUAGGAGAUGAAGUGUGGCGUCUUGAGAAAAUUGGAAAAGAUGGAAUUUUUCACAAAAAGCUCUCUCUAAAUGGCAUCAACACUGUACAAGAUUUCUUGAAGUUGGCCACCAUUGACACACCACAGCUUAGAAAUGUAAGCCUUUACUGAGACAAAAACAAAUCUCAAUUAAAAUGAAUUACAAAUAUAGUUACUUAAUUGUUUGUGGUUCGGUCCUUCCCCCGAUUCGUGCACCGAACUGUUCUUUUACUUAUUGUUUGUGAAUAUACAGAUGCUGGGAACUGGAAUGUCAGAAAAAAUGUGGGAAGUGACAUACAAGCAUGCAAAAACUUGUGAUAUGGGCUCAAAGUUAUACAUGGCUCGUGGGCCAAACUAUUUACUCAUACUCAAUCCAAUUUGUCAAGUGGUUAGGGCAAUUAUUGAUGGGCAAAUUUAUCCUAUUCGUGAAUUAACAGGAAUACAAAAGGUAAAAAAAAAUAAAAAUUGUGAUUUUGUAUGCACUUUGAGAGAGUUUGAUUCUUGAGAUAUUGUAAAUUUUGUACGUGAACAGUUCUUUUAAUAUCUAUACAACUGUAUUAACAGGCAUAUAUCCAGAAUUUGGUGAAGGACGCCUACGCCAAUUGGAGUUCCUUGGAAGAAGUUGAUGGUCUAGUGAAUGAGCCAGCACUACUAACUCAAGGUACUUCUUCGGGCCAGCUCGACUAAUUGAGUAAAUCUGUCUAUCUAAACUUGAUCAGAUGACAAGAAAUCACUCAGCGUUUUUAGCCAUUCCUAGAAUUUGAACCUGAAAACUCAUGAUUUUCCCGCGGUUGAGUGCUUAAUUUCCUUAACCUUACCUAAUAGUGUCACAUAUAGCAACCAUGCACAAAAAAAGUUUGCUUUGUUCUUUUUUGUACUCCUACUAAAGAUUAUAUAAAGAGGUCUUUUUCAAAAAACACAAGUUUUUGGAAUUACUAGUAUGAGUCAACGCUCUAAUUUGCUUCAAUAUUUUAGUACACUGUGCUGUUGGUUAUCAACUACCACUAAUACAUAAUAUAAUGAUUUUGUCAUAUGAACAGGAGAACCAACGAUGGAUCGGUAUCCAAAUGUUCAGCAACAACCGCUGAUACGAACCUAUCAGCGAAACACAAUUUUGACAGAUGCAUCUGAUGAACAAUUAGCUGAAUACAAUGACUGGAUUGUUAAUCCCAACUAUAUUUGCACUCUUGCUGAUAACAACACUGGUGGUUACUUUUCAGACGGAUCUUCUAAUAGACAAUUAUU